UGUGUAGGCGGUCGUCCAAGUUUGGUGUGAAAUCUCCCGGCUUAACUGGGAGGGUGCGCCGAAAACUGGAUAACUGGAGUAUGGGAGAGGAAAGCGGAAUUCCUGGUGUAGCGGUGAAAUGCGUAGAUAUCAGGAGGAACACCUGCGGUGUAGACGGCUUUCUGGACCAUGACUGACGCUGAGACACGAAAGCGUGGGGAGCAAACAGGAUUAGAUACCCUGGUAGUCCACGCCCUAAACGAUGCAUACUUGGUGUGAGCCAUUCAGUUGGUUCGUGCCGGAGCUAACGCGUUAAGUAUGCCGCCUGGGGAGUACGGUCGCAAGGCUGAA
RNAcentral lists this ribosomal RNA (330 nucleotides) under uncultured Acidobacteriota bacterium. RNAcentral describes it as "bacterial SSU rRNA". It matches the Rfam family "Bacterial small subunit ribosomal RNA", at positions 568 to 898 of the family's 1533-position model. The record is from RNAcentral. Lineage: Bacteria; Pseudomonadati; Acidobacteriota.